RNAcentral lists this small RNA (187 nucleotides) under Karenia brevis. RNAcentral's name for it is "partial Betaproteobacteria transfer-messenger RNA". The record is from RNAcentral. Lineage: Eukaryota; Dinophyceae; Gymnodiniales; Kareniaceae.
GUUCAUCCUGACGGCACAGAAGGAGGUCCAGCUCGCAGUCUCUGGCUACCAAUCGAGAAGCCUGGGGUGGGUUGCCUCUUCGUGCAAAAGAAUAAGCUGGAGGUGGACACACCGGUUGCGCUUGAACAUGCGAACGAAGUGCUCCUGGGUGAACCUGCAACGUCUUGUGGUCUGGAUAUAGAUGCGG